This 465-nucleotide ribosomal RNA is filed under the name Vreelandella stevensii. RNAcentral's name for it is "partial 16S ribosomal RNA". It matches the Rfam family "Bacterial small subunit ribosomal RNA", at positions 338 to 795 of the family's 1533-position model. The record is from RNAcentral. Lineage: Bacteria; Pseudomonadati; Pseudomonadota; Gammaproteobacteria; Oceanospirillales; Halomonadaceae.
CCUACGGGAGGCAGCAGGGGGGAAUAUUGGACAAUGGGGGCAACCCUGAUCCAGCCAUGCCGCGUGUGUGAAGAAGGCCCUCGGGUUGUAAAGCACUUUCAGUGAGGAAGAACGCCUGGUGGUUAAUACCCAUCAGGAAAGACAUCACUCACAGAAGAAGCACCGGCUAACUCCGUGCCAGCAGCCGCGGUAAUACGGAGGGUGCGAGCGUUAAUCGGAAUUACUUGGCGUAAAGCGCGCGUAGGUGGCUUGAUAAGCCGGUUGUGAAAGCCCCGGGCUCAACCUGGGAACGGCAUCCGGAACUGUCAAGCUAGAGUGCAGGAGAGGAAGGUAGAAUUCCCGGUGUAGCGGUGAAAUGCGUAGAGAUCGGGAGGAAUACCAGUGGCGAAGGCGGCCUUCUGGACUGACACUGACACUGAGGUGCGAAAGCGUGGGUAGCAAACAGGAUUAGAUACCCGAGUAGUC